GCCUCCUUGGCUCAAUGGUAGAGCAGCUCACUUGUAAUGAGCAGGUUGUUGGUUCGAGUCCGACAGGAGGCU
Molecule: transfer RNA, 72 nt
Filed under: Bacteroidaceae bacterium
Lineage: Bacteria; Pseudomonadati; Bacteroidota; Bacteroidia; Bacteroidales; Bacteroidaceae
Description: tRNA-Thr
Rfam family: tRNA
About the family: Transfer RNA (tRNA) molecules are approximately 80 nucleotides in length. Their secondary structure includes four short double-helical elements and three loops (D, anti-codon, and T loops). Further hydrogen bonds mediate the characteristic L-shaped molecular structure. tRNAs have two regions of fundamental functional importance: the anti-codon, which is responsible for specific mRNA codon recognition, and the 3' end, to which the tRNAs corresponding amino acid is attached (by aminoacyl-tRNA synthetases). tRNAs cope with the degeneracy of the genetic code in two manners: having more than one tRNA (with a specific anti-codon) for a particular amino acid; and 'wobble' base-pairing, i.e. permitting non-standard base-pairing at the 3rd anti-codon position.
Source: RNAcentral